Molecule: ribosomal RNA, 492 nt
Filed under: uncultured bacterium
Lineage: Bacteria
Description: partial 16S ribosomal RNA
Rfam family: Bacterial small subunit ribosomal RNA
Source: RNAcentral
AGUGAACGCUGGCGGUAGGCCUAACACAUGCAAGUCGAACGGCAGCACAGUAAGAGCUUGCUCUUACGGGUGGCGAAUGGCGGACGGGUGGGGAAUACAUCGGAAUCUACUUUUUCGUGGGGGAUAACGUAGGGAAACUUACGCUAAUACCGCAUACGACCUACGGGUGAAAGCAGGGGAUCUUCGGACCUUGCGCGAUUGAAUGAGCCGAUGUCGGAUUAGCUAGUUGGCGGGGUAAAGGCCCACCAAGGCGACGAUCCGUAGCUGGUCUGAGAGGAUGAUCAGCCACACUGGAACUGAGACACGGUCCAGACUCCUACGGGAGGCAGCAGUGGGGAAUAUUGGACAAUGGGCGCAAGCCUGAUCCAGCCAUACCGCGUGGGUGAAGAAGGCCUUCGGGUUGUAAAGCCCUUUUGUUGGGAAAGAAAAGCAGCAGGUUAAUACCCCGCUGUUCUGACGGUACCCAAAGAAUAAGCACCGGCUAACUUCGUG